UCCCUUGUGACUGAGUAAGGCUUAAGGUUGCGGGCGACUCGUAGAUCCGUUGAGAUCACGCAGGUUCAAAUCCUGCCGAGGGAA
This 84-nucleotide transfer RNA is filed under the name Corynebacterium hindlerae. RNAcentral describes it as "Corynebacterium sp. NML93-0612 tRNA-Ser". It matches the Rfam family "tRNA". Rfam says of the family: Transfer RNA (tRNA) molecules are approximately 80 nucleotides in length. Their secondary structure includes four short double-helical elements and three loops (D, anti-codon, and T loops). Further hydrogen bonds mediate the characteristic L-shaped molecular structure. tRNAs have two regions of fundamental functional importance: the anti-codon, which is responsible for specific mRNA codon recognition, and the 3' end, to which the tRNAs corresponding amino acid is attached (by aminoacyl-tRNA synthetases). tRNAs cope with the degeneracy of the genetic code in two manners: having more than one tRNA (with a specific anti-codon) for a particular amino acid; and 'wobble' base-pairing, i.e. permitting non-standard base-pairing at the 3rd anti-codon position. Lineage: Bacteria; Bacillati; Actinomycetota; Actinomycetes; Mycobacteriales; Corynebacteriaceae. The record is from RNAcentral.